Molecule: ribosomal RNA, 468 nt
Filed under: uncultured bacterium
Lineage: Bacteria
Description: partial 16S ribosomal RNA
Rfam family: Bacterial small subunit ribosomal RNA
Source: RNAcentral
GACGAACGCUGGCGGCGUGCUUAACACAUGCAAGUCGAACGGAAAGGCCCUGCUUUUGUGGGGUGCUCGAGUGGCGAACGGGUGAGUAACACGUGAGUAACCUGCCCUUGACUUUGGGAUAACUUCAGGAAACUGGGGCUAAUACCGGAUAGGAGCUCCUGCUGCAUGGUGGGGGUUGGAAAGUUUCGGCGGUUGGGGAUGGACUCGCGGCUUAUCAGCUUGUUGGUGGGGUAGUGGCUUACCAAGGCUUUGACGGGUAGCCGGCCUGAGAGGGUGACCGGCCACAUUGGGACGGAGAUACGGCACAGACUCCUACGGGAGGCAGCAGUGGGGAAUAUUGCACAAUGGGAGGAAGCCUGAUGCAGCAACGCCGCGUGCGGGAUGACGGCCUUCGGGUUGUAAACCGCUUUCGCCUGUGACGAAGCGUGAGUGACGGUAAUGGGUAAAGAAGCACCGGCUAACUACGUG